UUAGUCUGGCCCAGCGCCAGACUACAUUUGACCAUGUUACCCCGACCCGAGCUUCAUGACCUGGCAGUGGAGAAUUCUCAGAUUCUUUUGCUGUAGAUUUUGUGUUGCGCCCAUUGCAUUGAUGGUGUGGCUAGUGCUCUCUAAUACUCAAAGAUGGUGUCAGCUCUGAAUCUGAGAGUGGUCCUGCUACAUCAGGUUCACACAACUUGUUAGAUGGAAUGGCUAAUUCUGUCAGAAAACAUGGUGUUCAUGCACUCUUUUCUCUCAUUGGGUAAUUGCAGAAUAAGGAACAAGUAUAACAAGAAAAGGAAGCUGGAUGUAAAGUAUCAAGUAAAGAUGAACAGGUUGUGCAAAUCGCCAAGGCAAGCCAAAUGUGAAGUUUUAUACCUUUCCAAAGAAUCCUGAACGUAAAAAUAGAUGGAUAGCUGCUGUCAGGAGAAAGAAUUGGGCUCCUAGUCGAUUUUCAAGGAUUUGUAGUGAACAUUUUAGAAAUGGUAAGUCCUUCUAAGAUCUCAGGUUUAGAAAUGAAGUUACUUUUAUUAAAGGGUAAGU
Molecule: long non-coding RNA, 552 nt
Organism: Amphimedon queenslandica
Lineage: Eukaryota; Metazoa; Porifera; Demospongiae; Haplosclerida; Niphatidae
Exons: 4
Source: RefSeq, a predicted model, not a curated record